AGAGCGAACGCUGGCGGCAGGCCUAACACAUGCAAGUCGAGCGCCCGUAGCAAUACGGGAGCGGCAGACGGGAUAGUAACACGUGGGAACACGCCCUUCGGUUCGGAAUAGCUCAGGGAAACUUGAGCUAAUACCGGAUACGCCCUUACGGGGAAAGAUUUAUUGCCGAAGGAACGGCCCGCGUCCGAUUAGCUAGUUGGUGAGGUAAUGGCUCACCAAGGCGACGAUCGGUAGCUGGUCUGAGAGGAUGACCAGCAUCACUGGGACUGAGACACGGCCCAGACUCCUACGGGAGGCAGCAGUGGGGAAUAUUGGACAAUGGGCGCAAGCCUGAUCCAGCCAUGCCGCGUGGAUGAUGAAGGCCUUAGGGUUGUAAAGUCCUUUAACGGGGAAGAUAAUGACGGUACCCGUAGAAUAAGCCCCGGCUAACUUCGUGCCAGCAGCCGC
This 447-nucleotide ribosomal RNA is filed under the name uncultured bacterium. RNAcentral's name for it is "SSU rRNA". It matches the Rfam family "Bacterial small subunit ribosomal RNA", at positions 26 to 518 of the family's 1533-position model. The record is from RNAcentral.